Molecule: ribosomal RNA, 468 nt
Filed under: uncultured bacterium
Lineage: Bacteria
Description: partial 16S ribosomal RNA
Rfam family: Bacterial small subunit ribosomal RNA
Source: RNAcentral
GACGAACGCUGGCGGCGUGCUUAACACAUGCAAGUCGAACGGAAAGGCCCUGCUUUUGUGGGGUGCUCGAGUGGCGAACGGGUGAGUAACACGUGAGUAACCUGCCCUUGACUUUGGGAUAACUUCAGGAAACUGGGGCUAAUACCGGAUAGGAGCUCCUGCUGCAUGGUGGGGGUUGGAAAGUUUCGGCGGUUGGGGAUGGACUCGCGGCUUAUCAGCUUGUUGGUGGGGUAGUGGCUUACCAAGGCUUUGACGGGUAGCCGGCCUGAGAGGGUGACCGGCCACAUUGGGACUGAGAUACGGCCCAGACUCCUACGGGAGGCAGCAGUGAGGAAUAUUGCACAAUGGGCGGAAGCCUGAUGCAGCAACGCCGCGUGCGGGAUGACGGCCUUCGGGUUGUAAACCGCUUUCGCCUGUGACGAAGCGUGAGCGACGGUAAUGGGUAAAGAAGCACCGGCUAACUACGUG